UCGUUCUCCCCGAAAUAGCUUUAGGGCUAGCGUCGGGAGCUCACCUGUGGAGGUAGAGCACUGGACGGCCGCGGGGGCCUCACCGCCUACCAAAGCCGACCAAACUCCGAAUGCCACAGGUCCGGAUCCCGGCAGUCAGAACAUGUGGGCUAAGCUGUGUGUUCGAGAGGGAAACAGCCCAGACCGCCCGCUAAGGUCCCGAAGUCCGUGCUGAGUGGCAAAGGAUGUGCGUUUGCUCAGACAACCAGGAUGUUGGCUUAGAAGCAGCCAUUCAUUUAAAGAGUGCGUAACAGCUCACUGGUCGAGUGGACAUGCGCCGACAAUAUACGGGGCUAAGCACGGCACCGAAGCGGCGGGGUGGCGCCCUUUAGGGCGCGACCGGUAGGGGAGCUUUCCGGCCUGCGGCGAAGCCGAGGGACGACCCUCGGUGGAGCGGCCGGAAGUGAGAAUGCUGGCAUGAGUAGCGAGAGCGGCGUGGGAAACGCCGCCGCCGUAAACCCAAGGUUUCCCGGGCGAGGCUAAUCCCCCCGGGGUCAGUCGGGAGCUAAGGCGAGGCCGGGAGGCGUAGCCGAUGCACAGCGGGUCGACAUUCCCGCACCCCCGACGCGGAGUCUGACCGAAGGUGUGACGGAGGAGGGUAGCCGGACGGGGUUCUGGACGUCCCCGCGAUGGCGCGUAGGGCGAUGCCUUGUGAAACGCGGGCAUCACGUGGCCUGAGGCGCCGGACGAAGCGAGCGAGCGAAGCCGGUGAGCCCAUGCUCCCAAGAAAAGCACCUAGGGAUCCGCUAGGGGCCCGUACCGCAAACCGACACAGGUGGGUGGGUAGAACAUACCAAGGCGAUCGGGAGAACCAUGGUUAAGGAACUCGGCAAAACUGCCCCGUAACUUCGGGAGAAGGGGUGCCGGCGUGGACGUGGAGGGGCUUGCCCCCCGAGCGCGGGCCGGCCACAGCGAAGAGGUCCAAACGACUGUUUAUCAAAAACACAGGACUCUGCUCAAGCCGUAAGGCGACGCAUAGGGUCUGACGCCUGCCCGGUGCCGGAAGGUCACGGGGAGCGGUCAACCUCCGGGUGAAGCCGCGAACCCAAGCCCCGGUAAACGGCGGCCGUAACUAUAACGGUCCUAAGGUAGCGAAAUUCCUUGUCGGGUAAGUUCCGACCUGCACGAAAGGCGCAACGACUUGGGCGCUGUCUCGACCAUGGACCCGGUGAAAUUGCACUAGUCGUGAAGAUGCGACUUACCCGCGGAAGGACGGGAAGACCCCGUGAACCUUUACUGCAGCUAGGCAUUGGCUGCCGGACCGUCGCGUAGAGGAUAGGUGGGAGGCAACGAACCGAGGGCGCCAGCCCCCGGGGAGCCACCCUUGGAAUACCACCCCCGACGCUCUGGCAUCCUAACCCCACGCCCUGACCGGGGUGGGGGACCGUGCCUGGUGGGUAGUUUGACUGGGGCGGUCGCCUCCCAAAGAGUAACGGAGGCGCGCGAAGGUCUGCUCGGGACGGUCGGCAACCGUCCUCAAGAGUGCAAGAGCGUAAGCAGGCUUGACUGCGAGGCCAACAAGCCGAGCAGGUGGGAAACCAGGCUCUAGUGAUCCGGCGGCCCAGAGUGGAAUGGCCGUCGCUCAACGGAUAAAAGGUACUCCGGGGAUAACAGGCUGAUCUUCCCCAAGAGUCCACAUCGACGGGAAGGUUUGGCACCUCGAUGUCGGCUCAUCGCAUCCUGGGGCUGGAGCAGGUCCCAAGGGUAUGGCUGUUCGCCAUUCAAAGCGGUACGCGAGCUGGGUUCAGAACGUCGUGAGACAGUUCGGUCACUAUCCUCCGUGGGCGCAGGAAGAUUGAGGGAGGCUGCCCCUAGUACGAGAGGACCGGGGUGGACGGACCUCCUGUGCACGGGUUGUCGACCAACGGCACCGCCCGGUAGCAGAGUCCGGUCUGGAUAACCGCUGAAGGCAUCUAAGCGGGAAGCCAGUCCCGAGAUGAGUCUUCCCUUCGGUAAGGGCCCUCGU
This 2005-nucleotide ribosomal RNA is filed under the name human gut metagenome. RNAcentral describes it as "bacterial LSU rRNA". It matches the Rfam family "Bacterial large subunit ribosomal RNA", at positions 850 to 2841 of the family's 2925-position model. The record is from RNAcentral.